RNAcentral lists this ribosomal RNA (439 nucleotides) under Spintharus sp. CU 00785195. RNAcentral's name for it is "partial 16S ribosomal RNA". The record is from RNAcentral. Lineage: Eukaryota; Metazoa; Arthropoda; Arachnida; Araneae; Theridiidae.
UUGUUUAUAAAAAUUUUUAUAAAUACAACCUGCUCAAUGAAAAAUUUUUAAUAGCUGCAAUUUUUGUACUAAGGUAGCAUAAUCAUUUGUUUUUUAAUUUUAAACUAGAAUGAAAGGUAAAACAAAUCAUUUCUUUAUUUUUUAUUUUAUUUUAACUUAUAUUAAAUAUAAAAAUAUAUUUUUUUAAAAAAAAGACGACAAGACCCUAUUGAACUUUACUUUAGUUUAGCUGGGGAAGCUAAAUAAUAAAUAUUUUAUUCUAAAUUUAAUAAAUGACCCAAAAUAUUUGAUUAAUUAAUCAAGUUACCAUAGGGAUAACAGCGCAAUAAAUUUUUAAAGUUCUUAUCUAAAAAUUUGCUUACGACCUCGAUGUUGAAUUAGAAAUCUUUAUUAAGCAAAAAUAAUAAAAGUAGGUCUGUUCGACCUUUAAAAUUCUACA